Molecule: long non-coding RNA, 1189 nt
Organism: Astatotilapia calliptera (eastern happy)
Lineage: Eukaryota; Metazoa; Chordata; Actinopteri; Cichliformes; Cichlidae
Source: Ensembl
CUUUUCUAGCGUUAAAACAUUUGUAUUUUCAUAUGCUGAUUAUUCACUGUGCAUAUUUUGAGUUAUCUGAAUGCCAUACAUGUCAGCUCCUCCUUGUCCAUUAGCAUUUUUCUUUCUUUUUUUUUUUUGUUACCACUCUAAGGGAGGGAAGACCUUUUGGUUUCGGCUGGAAAGGAAAACGUGUUUUUCUUUUUUUUUUUUCUUUUGUUAUCUUGCACUGAAACGGGAAGUAAAAUGAUGAUGUAGCAUUUUUCUUGACAAAUAUACUAAUGAGGUCUUCCUUGUCUGGUGGUUUUGCACUAUUUCCAACAUUUCUGGGACAAUCUCGUCAGUCUCAACACAACAACCUCUCCAAAUUUCUCAUCUGGCUGCAAAAAAGAAAUUGCUCUUCGUAAUUAGUGUGAAAUCUCUCCUUCUCACUCGCAGUUGAAACAAGACGUGGUAAAUAAGUAUGGUAUCGUCAAGGUAGAUUUUCACAGUCAUGCUUGGUAAUUUUGUGGUAUGUUUUCAGAUGUGGAAAUGGCUUUUAAACUUUAAACUUGGUAACAGCUUUUGACCUAACAUUGCAGAAAAAUGACAGCUCUUUGGUCCUCGAGUGCCUCAGCCCACCCACCCCCUCCCCACCAAAUGUCUAUUUGUCAGGUAAUUGCUUAACGCGGGCACUUGACUGCAAUCAUACUUUUUACAGCAACGGUCAAUGAAGAGAGUGGUGAAGAAGAGCCAUCAUGCUUUCAAACCGAUCUCGUGCUUUCUCCAUGUCAGUGGUGGUAAAACGUUCGAAGGUAGAAAUUUAUAGAUGGGUAAUUCUUUUCUCGCUGAGGUCUUUAACGACUCAUCCCUCUCGAAACUUUAAAGGAUCCUCGAAAGGAAAAAGGAAGAAAAAGUGUUAAUUUAUUUUUCUGUGAUUUAAAAGUGCAGUUAAUGGAUCCUCAUUGUAAAUCAUUCCAACCCUUUUUUUUUAAUGGAAAUAGAAGUAUCUUCUUGGCUUUAGCAAGUGUGGUAAACAUUUGGCUGCCAUCUUCAUUUUACUGUGUUUACCCUUGUUGCUAUUACAAAACUGUUGUAGGUGGAGACUUUUUUUUUUUCCCCCUUUUUUUUUUUAACGUUUAGGUCCUUAUUUUAUUUUUCUUUCUUCCUUUCCAUUUUGAAUGUGUUGGAAUUAACAUACAAUAAACUACUGAUAACAUCA